GCAACAGAAAGGGGCUGAGGAGAAAGUGAGAGAAGCAGGACAACAGAAGCAGAAAGGGAACAAGAUAGAGAAAGAGAAACUGAUAACAGGCAGAAGACAUCGAGGAAAGGAGAACUCAGGCGUGUUGGUAGUGAAACUAGAGACUGAGAGAUGUAGCAGGAAAUAAAAGAAUACGAAAGACUGAGAACGAUUAUAAGGAGAAACUGAGAGGCUCACUGAAAAAUGGAAAAAGAGAAAGUAUGACACCUGCCAGGGGAGAGGAGCGGGGUGCCCAUAUACCAGAGCAGGAUGAGGUGCCCAGGCCUGGCAGAGAGACCUCUGUCUUCCAAAUACCUCUCAAACAGCUGGAAGGAAGCGGAGCAGUUUGGAAGCCGUGGCAGGCGCCGAGAGCGCCUCUGAACCGGAGCCUGGGAGGGGAGAGAAAGGAGAGGAGACGCCAAGGGGCUGCUCUUUGGCCCCCUCCUCCGACCUUGGAGGAUUCCUCCCCUUCCCCGCCAAGGCGGCUGCAGCCCCAUCCCCCCGCCCUCCAAGAACGCGACCUCCUCCUAGCCCAGACUCCCGGCUCCGCGAUUCAGUCUCCCGGGCCAGAGUCCUUUCCACCCCACCCUAGUGCUUCCAGUCCCAACCACUGGAGACCAAGUCGGGUGAAGCGGGGAAAGGGAAGCAAGCACCCAACGAGGGACCCAGAAGGGCCUCAUGGCCCUAAGAAGUACUCACCCGUCCUCCCCCACAAAGGCUUCUCCUGUCCUGGACCUGGUUUCAGGACUGUCCAGGUGAUAGAAGGAAGAGAGGAGCUGGAAGCUGAACUUGCCUGGACAGAACCAAAAAGUUGCAAACUGACGGCACCUACUGGCAAUCAUCAAGACUGCAGAAGGUCUGGAGAGCUCUGGCAGGGGACAAGAUUGUACAAUUCUCUCCCUACCAUCUCACAGACAUAUUGGGGUCUCUUCUGUAUUGGAGCACAACAAAGAGAGCCUGGAUCCUCAUGUCCCUGGGAGAAGCCCAGCCUGUCCCUGAUUCAGAAAACUUCCCCCAGCCCUAUCCCCCUCAAUCAUCUCGAACCCAGUUCUGCCACCAACUUAUUGUAUGAAGUUG
This is a long non-coding RNA of Lontra canadensis (Northern American river otter), 1095 nucleotides long. RefSeq lists it as uncharacterized. NCBI's taxonomy places the organism in Eukaryota, Metazoa, Chordata, Mammalia, Carnivora, Mustelidae. The record is from RefSeq and is a predicted model, not a curated record. The transcript has 5 exons.